Molecule: long non-coding RNA, 300 nt
Organism: Cyprinus carpio carpio
Lineage: Eukaryota; Metazoa; Chordata; Actinopteri; Cypriniformes; Cyprinidae
Source: Ensembl
UGAAUAUUUCAGUAUUUAGAUUACCUGCAGCAGCAUUGCUGAAGAUUUGUCGGAGCACCUCGGACAGGAGUGUAACGGGGAAAAAAGCAGCUGUAUGGCACCCAUUCACUGCAGAGGAUCCAUUGGUGAAGAAGUGAUGUAAUGCUACAUUUCUCCUACAAAUCUGUUCUGAUGAUGAAAUAACUCAUCUACAUCUAGGAUCACCUGAGGUGGAGGGCGCCGUUACUCUGUAGGAUCAGAAGGAACCGGUUUCCCUCUCAUUUCACUUUCUCCUUUGCAUUUCGGUUGACCUGUGCACCA